This 451-nucleotide ribosomal RNA is filed under the name uncultured bacterium. Its description in RNAcentral is "partial 16S ribosomal RNA". It matches the Rfam family "Bacterial small subunit ribosomal RNA", at positions 354 to 796 of the family's 1533-position model. The record is from RNAcentral.
GUGGGGAAUAUUGGACAAUGGGCGAAAGCCUGAUCCAGCCAUGCCGCGUGUGUGAAGAAGGCCUUUUGGUUGUAAAGCACUUUAAGCGAGGAGGAGGCUACCGAGAUUAAUACUCUUGGAUAGUGGACGUUACUCGCAGAAUAAGCACCGGCUAACUCUGUGCCAGCAGCCGCGGUAAUACAGAGGGUGCGAGCGUUAAUCGGAUUUACUGGGCGUAAAGCGCGCGUAGGUGGCCAAUUAAGUCAAAUGUGAAAUCCCCGAGCUUAACUUGGGAAUUGCAUUCGAUACUGGUUGGCUAGAGUAUGGGAGAGGAUGGUAGAAUUCCAGGUGUAGCGGUGAAAUGCGUAGAGAUCUGGAGGAAUACCGAUGGUGAAGGCAGCCAUCUGGCCUAAUACUGACACUGAGGUGCGAAAGCAUGGGGAGCAAACAGGAUUAGAUACCCUAGUAGUCC